This 318-nucleotide ribosomal RNA is filed under the name Bacillus paramycoides. Its description in RNAcentral is "bacterial SSU rRNA". It matches the Rfam family "Bacterial small subunit ribosomal RNA", at positions 40 to 342 of the family's 1533-position model. The record is from RNAcentral. Lineage: Bacteria; Bacillati; Bacillota; Bacilli; Caryophanales; Bacillaceae.
AGGUUUCGGCGUGCUAAUACAUGCAGUCGAGCGAAUGGAUUAAGAGCUUGCUCUUAUGAAGUUAGCGGCGGACGGGUGAGUAACACGUGGGUAACCUGCCCAUAAGACUGGGAUAACUCCGGGAAACCGGGGCUAAUACCGGAUAACAUUUUGAACCGCAUGGUUCGAAAUUGAAAGGCGGCUUCGGCUGUCACUUAUGGAUGGACCCGCGUCGCAUUAGCUAGUUGGUGAGGUAACGGCUCACCAAGGCAACGAUGCGUAGCCGACCUGAGAGGGUGAUCGGCCACACUGGGACUGAGCCAGGACCAAAACUAAAAC